This 99-nucleotide transfer RNA is filed under the name Microbispora siamensis. Its description in RNAcentral is "tRNA-Ile". The record is from RNAcentral. Lineage: Bacteria; Bacillati; Actinomycetota; Actinomycetes; Streptosporangiales; Streptosporangiaceae.
CCGGUCGUGGUCGAGCGGCACCAGGUAGCCGAGCUUGAUGAGCUGGGUGAGCUGGACGCUGUUGGUGAAGACCAUCAGGUCGUAGUCGAUCGACUGCCC